AACGGGGGGAGCUAGCGUUGUUCGGAAUUACUGGGCGUAAAGAGUGUGUAGGCGGUGCUCUAAGUCUGUUGUGAAAUCUCCCGGCUUAACUGGGAGGGUGCGGCGGAGACUGGAGUGCUAGAGUGUGGGAGAGGUAAGCGGAAUUCCUGGUGUAGCGGUGAAAUGCGUAGAUAUCAGGAGGAACACCUGUGGUGUAGACAGCUUACUGGACCACGACUGACGCUGAGACACGAAAGCGUGGGUAGCAAACAGG
This 253-nucleotide ribosomal RNA is filed under the name uncultured bacterium. RNAcentral's name for it is "partial 16S ribosomal RNA". It matches the Rfam family "Bacterial small subunit ribosomal RNA", at positions 524 to 776 of the family's 1533-position model. The record is from RNAcentral.